GAUGAACGCUGGCGGCGUGCCUAAUACAUGCAAGUCGAGCGAACAGACGAGGAGCUUGCUCCUCUGACGUUAGCGGCGGACGGGUGAGUAACACGUGGAUAACCUACCUAUAAGACUGGGAUAACUUCGGGAAACCGGAGCUAAUACCGGAUAACAUGUUGAACCGCAUGGUUCAACAGUGAAAGACGGUUUUGCUGUCACUUAUAGAUGGAUCCGCGCUGCAUUAGCUAGUUGGUAAGGUAACGGCUUACCAAGGCAACGAUGCGUAGCCGACCUGAGAGGGUGAUCGGCCACACUGGAACUGAGACACGGUCCAGACUCCUACGGGAGGCAGCAGUAGGGAAUCUUCCGCAAUGGGCGAAAGCCUGACGGAGCCACGCCGCGUGAGUGAUGAAGGUCUUCGGAUCGUAAAACUCUGUUAUUAGGGAAGAACAUAUGUGUAAGUAUCUGUGCCCAUCCUGACGGUACCUAAUCAGAAAGCCACGGCUAACUACGUG
RNAcentral lists this ribosomal RNA (497 nucleotides) under uncultured bacterium. RNAcentral describes it as "partial 16S ribosomal RNA". It matches the Rfam family "Bacterial small subunit ribosomal RNA", at positions 28 to 507 of the family's 1533-position model. The record is from RNAcentral.